RNAcentral lists this ribosomal RNA (394 nucleotides) under uncultured bacterium. Its description in RNAcentral is "partial 16S ribosomal RNA". It matches the Rfam family "Bacterial small subunit ribosomal RNA", at positions 523 to 918 of the family's 1533-position model. The record is from RNAcentral.
ACACGUAGGGGGCGAGCGUUGUUCGGAAUCAUUGGGCGUAAAGGGCGUGCAGGCGGUCCUGCAAGUCCGGCGUGAAAGACCCCGGCCCAACCGGGGGGACGCGCUGGAAACUGCGGGGCUUGAGUACAGGAGGGGAUGCCGGAAUUCCAGGUGUAGGGGUGAAAUCUGUAGAUAUCUGGAAGAACACCAAUGGCGAAGGCAGGCAUCUGGCCAUGUACUGACGCUGAGACGCGAAGGUGCGGGGAGCAAACAGGUUUAGAUACCCUGGUAGUCCGCACAGUAAACGAUGUGCACCAGGUGGCGGGGGGCCGACCCUCGGUACCGUAGCUAACGCAUUAAGUGCACCGCCUGGGGAGUAUGCUCGCAAGGGUGAAACUCAAAUGAAUUGACGGGG